GGACUCUAAAAAUAAAAAUAAAAAAAUUUAAAAAGUUUAGCUUGGCAACAACAAAGGGACAAACAUAGCUACAUGGGUUAAAAAUUUAAUAUAUACUCCUUUCAUACAACCAAGCAACUAAGGGCCCAAUGGAAUUAUAUCUAACGCUUUAGAAAAAAAAUAAAGAUGCUUGACACAGUUUAAUUAUCUAACAUAUAGUCAUAAAAUUAUCCAACAUUCAAGAGCAUAUAAAAAUGAAUUACAAUAGAAUGAUGAAGCUACUAAUAUUUUCCAACAUCAUUAUCUUUAAUUCCAACUCGAUUCUAGGAGUUUACAUGGUCCGAAAAUUACCUGGACAACAGAAAGAAGAACAAAUAUAGCAAAGUCAGCUCUUUCCAAAAUCAAGAAACAGACGACAAAAUAAUUAAACGGGCAGCAACACAGCAAAAGACAGCGGCAACCAGCAGAUUUCAAACCCAAGAAAAUGAACCAGAAAUACCCAGCAAAACAGUUGAAACUAGCAAUUAUGUAACUCCAGAAUAAGCUUUCAAAACUACUAUAUUUUCUUUAAAAAAUGUUUUGUACUUAAGAAUCAACUCACAAAAACUCUCAAUUUUUAGAUGCUAAAGGAUGCUUUAGCUGCUCUCUCCCUUUUUUUUUUUUUUUUUUUUUUUCUGUGUGUCCAGAUCUCUCCUACUGUUAUAAAGAUGUAUGUUUUAUAUAUGAGAAACAACCAACUAUUUCAUGAUUAAAAAUCAGUCUUUUUGAAAGAUAUUUCCACAAAAUCUGCACUUAAAUUCAAAAGGCAAGACUUUUUUGUUCAAUCUUGUCCAAAAGAGAGUAUUUCAACCAAAAUAUACCCUUCACUAUUCAAAGACAGACUUUUGUUCAAAAACUGUCCAAAUGUCUAUAUUUUCUUACCAAACAAAUGACUUUUGAGUUUUGUACUCAAAAAAUCUAUGAAGCAGUAAAUAAGCAAUCAAGUAAGUACCCUAUACUUUCAAGUAUUCCUUCACUACCUCACUUUCAUCAAUACAAAACUAUUCUACUACUUCAACAAGUGCAAAAACAGAAAAUUUAGCAUUUCAAACUUUAAAAACUAAUGCUAAAAUAAUUAAUAAGAGACAAAAUAAAAUCUGAAAAAAUAAAAAAUAAAAUAAAAAAAUAAGCCAUGAAAAAAAAAGAAUAAGUAUUUUUACCAUCUCACAAUUCAAGUGGCCGAAAUAAUGGUGGUAUGCCAAACGAGGACAUUCAGGGAGGUCGCCGGAAUUUGGCCGGAUUUUUGGGGCAGAAUUGACAUCAAUAGGUAGGUCUUGAGGAGCUCUAUCCGUUGAUGUAGGUAUUGUGGGGUGGUAGUGGCCGAAACUUCAAGAAUUUGGGCAAAAACGUGGCGGUUAAAAUUUUCUAGAUCUAAAAUUCAAGGAGUUCGAGGGGUUUUUGAAGGAUUUGGUUUGGAGAUAUGAAAAGAGGAGGUUGUGGAGAUUACAUGGUGUAAAUUUGGAGAUGUUUGGAGGUGGUACUCCGCUGAUGGGUGAUUUCCAGCGGCGGCGGAUAGAGAGAGUGAAGUUAGAGAGAAGAGAGGAGGAAGAAAAGAAUUAUGGGGAAAAUGAUGGCAAAUUUUCAGCAUUUUUAGGUCUUAAAUACCUAGUUAGGAGAUUGAUUAUGG
RNAcentral lists this long non-coding RNA (1645 nucleotides) under Nicotiana tabacum (common tobacco). Its description in RNAcentral is "long non-coding RNA (NTAB_LNC018799)". The record is from RNAcentral. Lineage: Eukaryota; Viridiplantae; Streptophyta; Magnoliopsida; Solanales; Solanaceae.